This 253-nucleotide ribosomal RNA is filed under the name uncultured bacterium. RNAcentral's name for it is "partial 16S ribosomal RNA". It matches the Rfam family "Bacterial small subunit ribosomal RNA", at positions 524 to 776 of the family's 1533-position model. The record is from RNAcentral.
UACGAAGGGUGCUAGCGUUGUUCGGAAUUACUGGGCGUAAAGCGCGCGUAGGCGGCUUAACAAGUCAGAGGUGAAAUCCCCAGGCUCAACCUGGGAAUUGCCUUUGAAACUGUUAAGCUUGAGUGUCGGAGGGGAUAGCGGAAUUCCUAAUGUAGAGGUGAAAUUCGUAGAUAUUAGGAGGAACACCGGUGGCGAAGGCGGCUAUCUGGACGACAACUGACGUUGAGGCGCGAAAGCGUGGGGAUCAAACAGG